AUGCGACCCUAGGUCAUGCGGGACUACCCGCUGCAGUUAAG
This 41-nucleotide ribosomal RNA is filed under the name Carpinus turczaninowii (Korean hornbeam). RNAcentral's name for it is "partial 26S ribosomal RNA". Lineage: Eukaryota; Viridiplantae; Streptophyta; Magnoliopsida; Fagales; Betulaceae. The record is from RNAcentral.